RNAcentral lists this ribosomal RNA (722 nucleotides) under uncultured Fusobacterium sp. Its description in RNAcentral is "bacterial SSU rRNA". It matches the Rfam family "Bacterial small subunit ribosomal RNA", at positions 28 to 776 of the family's 1533-position model. Lineage: Bacteria; Fusobacteriati; Fusobacteriota; Fusobacteriia; Fusobacteriales; Fusobacteriaceae. The record is from RNAcentral.
GAUGAACGCUGACAGAAUGCUUAACACAUGCAAGUCAACUUGAACUUCGGUUUGGGUGGCGGACGGGUGAGUAACGCGUAAAGAACUUGCCUCACAGAUAGGGACAACAUUUGGAAACGAAUGCUAAUACCUGAUAUUAUGAUUUUAGGGCAUCCUAGGAUUAUGAAAGCUAUAUGCGCUGUGAGAGAGCUUUGCGUCCCAUUAGCUAGUUGGAGAGGUAACGGCUCACCAAGGCGAUGAUGGGUAGCCGGCCUGAGAGGGUGAUCGGCCACAAGGGGACUGAGACACGGCCCUUACUCCUACGGGAGGCAGCAGUGGGGAAUAUUGGACAAUGGACCAAGAGUCUGAUCCAGCAAUUCUGUGUGCACGAUGAAGUUUUUCGGAAUGUAAAGUGCUUUCAGUUGGGAAGAAAAAAAUGACAGUACCAACAGAAGAAGUGACGGCUAAAUACGUGCCAGCAGCCGCGGUAAUACGUAUGUCACAAGCGUUAUCCGGAUUUAUUGGGCGUAAAGCGCGUCUAGGUGGUUAUAUAAGUCUGAUGUGAAAAUGCAGGGCUCAACUCUGUAUUGCGUUGGAAACUGUGUAACUAGAGUACUGGAGAGGUAAGCGGAACUACAAGUGUAGAGGUGAAAUUCGUAGAUAUUUGUAGGAAUGCCGAUGGGGAAGCCAGCUUACUGGACAGAUACUGACGCUGAAGCGCGAAAGCGUGGGUAGCAAACAGG